GUCGAGGAUCUUCCGCAAUGGGCGAAAGCCUGACGGAGCGACACCGCGUGCAGGAUGAAGGCCUUCGGGUUGUAAACUGCUGUCACGCCAUAGGAACCGCUGGACGUUAACAGCGUCCAGCCUGACUAAAGCGAGAGGAAGCACCGGCUAACUCUGUGCCAGCAGCCGCGGUAAGACAGAGGGUGCAAACGUUGUUCGGAAUCACUGGGCAUAAAGCGCACGUAGGCGGUCCGAAAAGUCAGGUGUGAAAUCCCCCGGCUCAACCGGGGAACUGCGCCUGAUACUGCCGGGCUCGAGAUUGGUAGGGGUGGAUGGAACUCCAGGUGGAGCGGUGAAAUGCGUAGAUAUCUGGAGGAACACCGGAGGCGAAAGCGGUCCACUGGGCCAAUUCUGACGCUGAGGUGCGAAAGCUAGGGUAGCAAACGGGAUUAGAAACCCUUGUAGUCC
This 447-nucleotide ribosomal RNA is filed under the name uncultured bacterium. RNAcentral describes it as "bacterial SSU rRNA". It matches the Rfam family "Bacterial small subunit ribosomal RNA", at positions 354 to 796 of the family's 1533-position model. The record is from RNAcentral.